AAUAAGUUCAUUUUUCAGUUUUUAGAUACAAUGACUCCUCGUCUUAUUUGAAAUUUGUUUGUGAUUACUAUUUUUAUUGUUACUAGAUGAUAAAACAUGAAUAGUACUUUAUGCGUGACUAGGUUUCUAAAUUUUUAUACAAAAUUUUCAAAUAAGACGAAUGGCCAAACUUUGGACACAGAAAUCGAAAAAUGACGUUAUU
This is a non-coding RNA of Oryza brachyantha (malo sina), 202 nucleotides long. The record is from Rfam. Lineage: Eukaryota; Viridiplantae; Streptophyta; Magnoliopsida; Poales; Poaceae.